AUGGCUGAUGCAGAAUCCUACAUGUUUGGGACUCAGUGAUCGGCUCCUCACGAAUGCUAGUUCGUGAUUUCACCCUUUUGAUGACUGAUGUUGAUCGAACUCCUUCGAUCGAUGUGUGCCGACUCCUCGGAUGCUUCAGAUCAUCUGCAUGGUUGGUUGAGAGUCUGAUGGAUCUCUUCCUGAAAUUUGGUGGAUUCACGACACUCGUGGCACACCAAUCUCACUUUCCGAACCCUAGGU
RNAcentral lists this long non-coding RNA (240 nucleotides) under Elaeis guineensis (African oil palm). Its description in RNAcentral is "long non-coding RNA (EGUI_LNC021237)". The record is from RNAcentral. Lineage: Eukaryota; Viridiplantae; Streptophyta; Magnoliopsida; Arecales; Arecaceae.